Molecule: transfer RNA, 72 nt
Filed under: Candidatus Obscuribacterales bacterium
Lineage: Bacteria; Bacillati; Candidatus Melainabacteria; Candidatus Obscuribacterales
Description: tRNA-Trp
Rfam family: tRNA
About the family: Transfer RNA (tRNA) molecules are approximately 80 nucleotides in length. Their secondary structure includes four short double-helical elements and three loops (D, anti-codon, and T loops).
Source: RNAcentral
GCGUGUUAGGUCACGGCGACCGCGAGAACUCCAAAUCCUCGGGACUAGGUUCGAUUCCUAGAACACGCGCCA